AAUCUUCCGCAAUGGACGAAAGUCUGACGGAGCAACGCCGCGUGAGUGAUGAAGGUCUUCGGAUCGUAAAACUCUGUUGUUAGGGAAGAACAAGUAUCGUUCGAAUAGGGCGGUACCUUGACGGUACCUAACCAGAAAGCCACGGCUAACUACGUGCCAGCAGCCGCGGUAAUACGUAGGUGGCAAGCGUUAUCCGGAAUUAUUGGGCGUAAAGCGCGGGCAGGGGGUUUCUUAAGUCGAAGGUGAAAGCCCAGGGCUCAACCGUGGAGGGUAAUUGGAAACUGGGAAGCUUGGGUGAAGAAGAGGAGGGGGAAAUUCAAGGUGUAGCGGGGAAAUGCGUAGGGAAAGGGAGGAAAACCAGGGGCGAAGGCGACUCUCUGGUCGGCAACUGACGCUGAGGCGCGAAAGCGUGGGAGCGAACA
This 422-nucleotide ribosomal RNA is filed under the name uncultured bacterium. RNAcentral's name for it is "partial 16S ribosomal RNA". It matches the Rfam family "Bacterial small subunit ribosomal RNA", at positions 360 to 774 of the family's 1533-position model. The record is from RNAcentral.